Molecule: ribosomal RNA, 497 nt
Filed under: uncultured bacterium
Lineage: Bacteria
Description: partial 16S ribosomal RNA
Rfam family: Bacterial small subunit ribosomal RNA
Source: RNAcentral
GAUGAACGCUGGCGGCGUGCCUAAUACAUGCAAGUCGAGCGAACAGACGAGGAGCUUGCUCCUCUGACGUUAGCGGCGGACGGGUGAGUAACACGUGGAUAACCUACCUAUCAGACUGGGAUAACUUCGGGAAACCGGAGCUAAUACCGGAUAACAUGUUGAACCGCAUGGUUCAACAGUGAAAGACGGUCUUGCUGUCACUUAUAGAUGGAUCCGCGCCGCAUUAGCUAGUUGGUAAGGUAACGGCUUACCAAGGCAACGAUGCGUAGCCGACCUGAGAGAGUGAUCGGCGACACGGGAACGGAGACACGGUCCAGACGACUACGGGAGGCAGCAGUAGGGAAUCUGCCGCAAUGGGCGAAAGCCUGACGGAGCAACGCCGCGUGAGUGAAGGAGGUCUUCGGAUCGUAAAACUCUGUUAUGAGGGAAGAACAAAUGUGUAAGUAACUAUGCACGUCGUGACGGUAACGAAUCAGAAAGCCACGGCUAACUACGUG